AACACUUGGAAACAGGUGCUAAUACCGUAUAACAACUGAAACCGCAUGGUUUCAGUUUGAAAGAUGGUUUCGGCUAUCACUUCUGGAUGGACCCGCGGCGUAUUAGCUAGUUGGUGGAGUAAUGGUUCACCAAGGCAAUGAUACGUAGCCGACCUGAGAGGGUAAUCGGCCACAUUGGGACUGAGACACGGCCCAAACUCCUACGGGAGGCAGCAGUAGGGAAUCUUCCACAAUGGACGAAAGUCUGAUGGAGCAACGCCGCGUGAGUGAAGAAGGGUUUCGGCUCGUAAAACUCUGUUGUUGAAGAAGAACACAUCUGAGAGUAACUGUUCAGGUGUUGACGGUAUUUAACCAGAAAGCCACGGCUAACUACGUGCCAGCAGCCGCGGUAAUACGUAGGUGGCAAGCGUUGUCCGGAUUUAUUGGGCGUAAAGCGAGCGCAGGCGGUUUCUUAAGUCUGAUGUGAAAGCCUUCGGCUUAACCGGAGAAGUGCAUCGGAAACUGGGAGACUUGAGUGCAGAAGAGGACAGUGGAACUCCAUGUGUAGCGGUGAAAUGCGUAGAUAUAUGGAAGAACACCAGUGGCGAAGGCGGCUGUCUGGUCUGUAACUGA
This 612-nucleotide ribosomal RNA is filed under the name uncultured bacterium. RNAcentral's name for it is "bacterial SSU rRNA". It matches the Rfam family "Bacterial small subunit ribosomal RNA", at positions 145 to 743 of the family's 1533-position model. The record is from RNAcentral.